AUAUCAAUAAGCGGAGGAAAAGAAACCAACAGGGAUUGCCCUAGUAACGGCGAGUGAAGCGGCAACAGCUCAAAUUUGAAAUCUGGCUCUUUCAGAGUCCGAGUUGUAAUUUGCAGAGGGCGCUUUGGCUUUGGCAGCGGUCCAAGUUCCUUGGAACAGGACGUCACAGAGGGUGAGAAUCCCGUACGUGGUCGCUAGCUAUUGCCGUGUAAAGCCCCUUCGACGAGUCGAGUUGUUUGGGAAUGCAGCUCUAAAUGGGAGGUAAAUUUCUUCUAAAGCUAAAUAUUGGCCAGAGACCGAUAGCGCACAAGUAGAGUGAUCGAAAGAUGAAAAGCACUUUGGAAAGAGAGUCAAACAGCACGUGAAAUUGUUGAAAGGGAAGCGCUUGCAGCCAGACUUGCUUGCAGUUGCUCAUCCGGGCUUUUGCCCGGUGCACUCUUCUGCAGGCAGGCCAGCAUCAGUUUGGGCGGUGGGAUAAAGGUCUCUGUCACGUACCUUCCUUCGGGUUGGCCUUAUAGGGGAGACGCCAUACCACCAGCCUGGACUGAGGUCCGCGCAUCUGCUAGGAUGCUGGCGUAAUGGCUGUAAGCGGCCCGUCUUGAAACACGGACCAAGGAGUCUAACAUCUAUGCGAGUGUUUGGGUGUCAAGCCCGAGCGCGUAAUGAAAGUGAACGGAGGUGGGAACCCGCAAGGGUGCACCAUCGACCGAUCCUGAAGUUUACGGAAGGAUUUGAGUAAGAGCAUGGCUGUUGGGACCCGAAAGAUGGUGAACUAUGCUUGAAUAGGGUGAAGCCAGAGGAAACUCUGGUGGAGGCUCGCAGCGGUUCUGACGUGCAAAUCGAUCGUCAAAUUUGGGCAUAGGGGCGAAAGACUAAUCGAACUAUCUAGUAGCUGGUUCCUGCC
This 904-nucleotide ribosomal RNA is filed under the name Curvularia kusanoi. Its description in RNAcentral is "LSU rRNA". It matches the Rfam family "Eukaryotic large subunit ribosomal RNA", at positions 40 to 962 of the family's 3401-position model. The record is from RNAcentral. Lineage: Eukaryota; Fungi; Ascomycota; Dothideomycetes; Pleosporales; Pleosporaceae.